RNAcentral lists this ribosomal RNA (673 nucleotides) under Salmonella enterica subsp. enterica. Its description in RNAcentral is "partial 23S ribosomal RNA". It matches the Rfam family "Bacterial large subunit ribosomal RNA", at positions 566 to 1222 of the family's 2925-position model. The record is from RNAcentral. Lineage: Bacteria; Pseudomonadati; Pseudomonadota; Gammaproteobacteria; Enterobacterales; Enterobacteriaceae.
GCGACGCCCAACACACAAAACAAGCGGUGAAUGCUUUGGGGUGGGGUGACUGCGUACCUUUUGUAUAAUGGGUCAGCGACUUAUAUUCUGUAGCAAGGUUAACCGAAUAGGGGAGCCGGAGGGAAACCGAGUCUUAAUUGGGCGUUAAGUUGCAGGGUAUAGACCCGAAACCCGGUGAUCUAGCCAUGGGCAGGUUGAAGGUUGGGUAACACUAACUGGAGGACCGAACCGACUAAUGUUGAAAAAUUAGCGGAUGACCUGUGGCUGGGGGUGAAAGGCCAAUCAAACCGGGAGAUAGCUGGUUCUCCCCGAAAGCUAUUUAGGUAGCGCCUCGUGAAUUCAUCUCCGGGGGUAGAGCACUGUUUCGGCUAGGGGGCCAUCCCGGCUUACCAACCCGAUGCAAACUGCGAAUACCGGAGAAUGUUAUCACGGGAGACACACGGCGGGUGCUAACGUCCGUCGUGAAGAGGGAAACAACCCAGACCGCCAGCUAAGGUCCCAAAGUCAUGGUUAAGUGGGAAACGAUGUGGGAAGGCCCAGACAGCCAGGAUGUUGGCUUAGAAGCAGCCAUCAUUUAAAGAAAGCGUAAUAGCUCACUGGUCGAGUCGGCCUGCGCGGAAGAUGUAACGGGGCUAAACCAUGCACCGAAGCUGCGGCAGCGAACGUAUCACCC